Molecule: unclassified non-coding RNA, 343 nt
Filed under: soil metagenome
Description: partial contains 5.8S ribosomal RNA, internal transcribed spacer 2, and large subunit ribosomal RNA
Rfam family: 5.8S ribosomal RNA (bases 1-120)
Source: RNAcentral
GAUGAAGAACGUAGCGAAAUGCGAUAAGUAAUGUGAAUUGCAGAAUUCAGUGAAUCAUCGAAUCUUUGAACGCACAUUGCGCCCGCUAGUAUUCUGGCGGGCAUGCCUAUCCGAGCGUCAUUUCAACCCUCAAGCCCCCGGGCUUGGUGUUGGGGAUCGGCGAGCCUCCGCGCCCGCCGUCCCCUAAAUCUAGUGGCGGUCUCGCUGUAGCUUCCUCUGCGUAGUAGCACACCUCGCACUGGGAAACAGCGCGGCCACGCCGUUAAACCCCCAACUUCUGAACGUUUGACCUCGGAUCAGGUAGGAAUACCCGCUGAACUUAAGCAUAUCAAUAAGCGGAGGA